UUUCCGUAGGUGAACCUGCGGAAGGAUCAUUCAUAAUAAGUGUUUUAUGGCACUUUUUUAAAUCCAUAUCCACCUUGUGUGCAAUGUCAGGGUUGAUUUUUCUCUCGAGAGGAUCAACCCCAAACAUCAACUAUAUCUCAACUCUUUGUCAGAAAAAUAUUAUGAAUAAAACAAUUCAAAAUACAACUUUCAACAACGGAUCUCUUGGCUCUA
This 213-nucleotide unclassified non-coding RNA is filed under the name plant metagenome. RNAcentral's name for it is "partial contains small subunit ribosomal RNA, internal transcribed spacer 1, and 5.8S ribosomal RNA". The record is from RNAcentral.